GUCGAACGAACUCUGGUAUUGAUUGGUGCUUGCAUCAUGAUUUACAUUUGAGUGAGUGGCGAACUGGUGAGUAACACGUGGGAAACCUGCCCAGAAGCGGGGGAUAACACCUGGAAACAGAUGCUAAUACCGCAUAACAACUUGGACCGCAUGGUCCGAGCUUGAAAGAUGGCUUCGGCUAUCACUUUUGGAUGGUCCCGCGGCGUAUUAGCUAGAUGGUGGGGUAACGGCUCACCAUGGCAAUGAUACGUAGCCGACCUGAGAGGGUAAUCGGCCACAUUGGGACUGAGACACGGCCCAAACUCCUACGGGAGGCAGCAGUAGGGAAUCUUCCACAAUGGACGAAAGUCUGAUGGAGCAACGCCGCGUGAGUGAAGAAGGGUUUCGGCUCGUAAAACUCUGUUGUUAAAGAAGAACAUAUCUGAGAGUAACUGUUCAGGUAUUGACGGUAUUUAACCAGAAAGCCACGGCUAACUACGUGCCAGCAGCCGCGGUAAUACGUAGGUGGCAAGCGUUGUCCGGAUUUAUUGGGCGUAAAGCGAGCGCAGGCGGUUUUUUAAGUCUGAUGUGAAAGCCUUCGGCUCAACCGAAGAAGUGCAUCGGAAACUGGGAAACUUGAGUGCAGAAGAGGACAGUGGAACUCCAUGUGUAGCGGUGAAAUGCGUAGAUAUAUGGAAGAACACCAGUGGCGAAGGCGGCUGUCUGGUCUGUAACUGACGCUGAGGCUCGAAAGUAUGGGUAGCAAACAGGAUUAGAUACCCUGGUAGUCCAUACCGUAAACGAUGAAUGCUAAGUGUUGGAGGGUUUCCGCCCUUCAGUGCUGCAGCUAACGCAUUAAGCAUUCCGCCUGGGGAGUACGGCCGCAAGGCUGAAACUCAAAGGAAUUGACGGGGGCCCGCACAAGCGGUGGAGCAUGUGGUUUAAUUCGAAGCUACGCGAAGAACCUUACCAGGUCUUGACAUACUAUGCAAAUCUAAGAGAUUAGACGUUCCCUUCGGGGACAUGGAUACAGGUGGUGCAUGGUUGUCGUCAGCUCGUGUCGUGAGAUGUUGGGUUAAGUCCCGCAACGAGCGCAACCCUUAUUAUCAGUUGCCAGCAUUAAGUUGGGCACUCUGGUGAGACUGCCGGUGACAAACCGGAGGAAGGUGGGGAUGACGUCAAAUCAUCAUGCCCCUUAUGACCUGGGCUACACACGUGCUACAAUGGAUGGUACAACGAGUUGCGAACUCGCGAGAGUAAGCUAAUCUCUUAAAGCCAUUCUCAGUUCGGAUUGUAGGCUGCAACUCGCCUACAUGAAGUCGGAAUCGC
RNAcentral lists this ribosomal RNA (1308 nucleotides) under Lactiplantibacillus plantarum. RNAcentral describes it as "bacterial SSU rRNA". It matches the Rfam family "Bacterial small subunit ribosomal RNA", at positions 61 to 1335 of the family's 1533-position model. Lineage: Bacteria; Bacillati; Bacillota; Bacilli; Lactobacillales; Lactobacillaceae. The record is from RNAcentral.